GGGGAUUUAGCUCAGCGGCAUAAGCGCCUGCCUUGUAAGCAGGAAGUCGUGAGUUCGAUCCCUG
This is a transfer RNA of Cavia porcellus (domestic guinea pig), 64 nucleotides long. It matches the Rfam family "tRNA". Rfam says of the family: Transfer RNA (tRNA) molecules are approximately 80 nucleotides in length. Their secondary structure includes four short double-helical elements and three loops (D, anti-codon, and T loops). Further hydrogen bonds mediate the characteristic L-shaped molecular structure. tRNAs have two regions of fundamental functional importance: the anti-codon, which is responsible for specific mRNA codon recognition, and the 3' end, to which the tRNAs corresponding amino acid is attached (by aminoacyl-tRNA synthetases). tRNAs cope with the degeneracy of the genetic code in two manners: having more than one tRNA (with a specific anti-codon) for a particular amino acid; and 'wobble' base-pairing, i.e. permitting non-standard base-pairing at the 3rd anti-codon position. The record is from Rfam. Lineage: Eukaryota; Metazoa; Chordata; Mammalia; Rodentia; Caviidae.